AAACCACCUGAGUUGGGUAUGACUACCUGCUGAACUUAAGCAUAUCAGUAAGCAGAGGAA
RNAcentral lists this ribosomal RNA (60 nucleotides) under Bursaphelenchus mucronatus. RNAcentral describes it as "partial 28S ribosomal RNA". The record is from RNAcentral. Lineage: Eukaryota; Metazoa; Nematoda; Chromadorea; Rhabditida; Aphelenchoididae.